This 409-nucleotide long non-coding RNA is filed under the name Mytilus galloprovincialis (Mediterranean mussel). The record is from RNAcentral. Lineage: Eukaryota; Metazoa; Mollusca; Bivalvia; Mytilida; Mytilidae.
UUUUUUCUUGCAUAAUAACAGUAAACGGAUUCAAAACAAUGUCAAUUUCAAGAAAGCAGGCAACAGUUAAUUAGUCAAUAACAGUAAGCAAAUGAUCUUGAUAUAUGCCACUUUUAACUAAAUAUAAAACAGAAAGACAUCGGAGCACAGAACCAGGACCGUUUUUCUUAUCACCAGCACCGCGUCAGGACAAUUCCGUUAAACGAACUUGCACGACUUUUGCAAUAUAAUAUUGUUGUAAUAUACUUUGCAUGGUACUUAUGACGCAUCAGAGAAAAAUUAAGCAACAAAACAGUCGUUUUAUUGCCGUUCUGAUACAAUGUAAACAAACCCACCAGCACAGAAUCAGGACCCACCAGCACCCGUCAGGACCGAAUCACCAGCACAGUACGUUCUCUCGCAGGACAAC